GGGUUGUGAGGUUAAGCGACUAAGCGUACACGGUGGAUGCCCUGGCAGUCAGAGGCGAUGAAGGACGUGCUAAUCUGCGAAAAGCGUCGGUAAGGUGAUAUGAACCGUUAUAACCGGCGAUGUCCGAAUGGGGAAACCCAGUGUGAUUCGUCACACUAUCGUUAACUGAAUACAUAGGUUAACGAGGCGAACCGGGGGAACUGAAACAUCUAAGUACCCCGAGGAAAAGAAAUCAACCGAGAUUCCCCCAGUAGCGGCGAGCGAACGGGGAGCAGCCCAGAGUCUGAAUCAGCUUGUGUGUUAGUGGAACGGUCUGGAAAGUCCGACGGUACAGGGUGAUAGUCCCGUACACCAAAAUGCACAGGCUGUGAACUCGAAGAGUAGGGCGGGACACGUGGUAUCCUGUCUGAAUAUGGGGGGACCAUCCUCCAAGGCUAAAUACUCCUGACUGACCGAUAGUGAACCAGUACCGUGAGGGAAAGGCGAAAAGAACCCCGGCGAGGGGAGUGAAAAAGAAA
RNAcentral lists this ribosomal RNA (518 nucleotides) under Klebsiella pneumoniae. RNAcentral's name for it is "bacterial LSU rRNA". It matches the Rfam family "Bacterial large subunit ribosomal RNA", at positions 1 to 549 of the family's 2925-position model. Lineage: Bacteria; Pseudomonadati; Pseudomonadota; Gammaproteobacteria; Enterobacterales; Enterobacteriaceae. The record is from RNAcentral.